GAGUAAUACGUAGACAACCUGCCCCUUGGACCGGGAUAGCCACGGGAAGCUGUGGGUAAUACCGGAUGACAUCGUCGGGCCUCCUGACCUGACGAUCAAAUGGUGCUUCCGCCGAGGGAGGGGUUUACGUCCUAUUAGCUAGUUGGUGAGGUAACGGCUCACCAAGGCGGUGAUGGGUAGCGGGCGUGAGAGCGUGACCCGCCACACUGGGACUGAGACACUGCCCAGACUCCUACGGGAGGCUGCAGUCGAGAAUCAUUGUCAAUGGGCGCAAGCCUGAACAUGCGACGCCGCGUGGAGGAUGAAGGCCCUCGGGUUGUAAACUCCUGUCAGGGGGGAUGAAUGGCCGACGGUUCGACUGUCGGUCACACUUGACAUAACCCCAAAGGAAGCUCCGGCUAACUCCGUGCCAGCAGCCGCGGUAAUACGGAGGGAGCGAACGUUGUUCGGAAUUACUGGGCUUAAAGCGCACGUAGGCGGUUCGGUAAGUCGGGUGUGAAAUCCCUCGGCUCAACCGAGGAACGGCAUUCGAUACUGCUGGACUUGAGUAAGGUAGGGGGGCGUGGAACUCCGGGUGGAGCGGUGAAAUGCGUUGAUAUCCGGAGGAACGCCGGUGGUGAAAACGGCGCCCUGGGCCUUAACUGACGCUGAGGUGCGAA
Molecule: ribosomal RNA, 659 nt
Filed under: uncultured Planctomycetota bacterium
Lineage: Bacteria; Pseudomonadati; Planctomycetota
Description: bacterial SSU rRNA
Rfam family: Bacterial small subunit ribosomal RNA
Source: RNAcentral